This 179-nucleotide ribosomal RNA is filed under the name Clistocoeloma sinense. Its description in RNAcentral is "partial 16S ribosomal RNA". The record is from RNAcentral. Lineage: Eukaryota; Metazoa; Arthropoda; Malacostraca; Decapoda; Sesarmidae.
AUUUAAUAUUAAUUAAUCAUUUAAAGUAAAAUUUUGUUAUAUAAAUAUUCUAAUGAUUAAUGUAUUAUUUUAUUGGGGUGAUAAUGGUAAAAUGACUAUUAACUGUUUAUUAUUUUAUUACAAAAAUUAUUGAAUAUAUUUUAAUAAAUGAUCCUUGUUAAAGAUUAAGAGUUUAAGUU